Dreissena polymorpha is the source of this 350-nucleotide long non-coding RNA. RefSeq lists it as uncharacterized. NCBI's taxonomy places the organism in Eukaryota, Metazoa, Mollusca, Bivalvia, Myida, Dreissenidae. The transcript has 3 exons. The record is from RefSeq and is a predicted model, not a curated record.
UUUUAAGAUUUGACAUGGGCAACUACUUUGAUUGGACACACGUGACCCAGAUUCAAACGGCCUACGAAGAACACCGCAAGACGGACUCCUUUCAGGGGAGCGAAACGGCUCAAUCGGCAUGUUGCAAGUCGGCAAAGUGCAGGUUUGAUAAGUCUCCGAUCCACCGAUACAAAACCGCCCAGAUUUUCCAUUCGGCGCCGGAUUGUCGCACUUCCUCUGCCGGUAGCGUCUGCCAGAUCCGCAGGUGACUGAGCAGGAGCCCCAUUCGCCCCACGCUGACCAUGCUCCAUUGACCGUUGUUGCGGCUGUUGCAAAUAUAACAAUAAGAGGGCAUGAUGGCUCACCUGAGU